UUUUUGAAGAUUUCAAAAUAACUGAUGAAAUAAAAUAUGACAUUCUUAAGAGACCAUGGACAUCAAUUCAUUCUUAUGAAACUGAACAUGUAUCUACCUUUCGUCGAUUAUUUGAUAGCAGAGUUGAAUACAAGACUUCUGACAGCAGAGCCACUUUAUGUAGCACAAAAGUUAAUCCAAAAAAACGUUGACCAACUUACUUUAGCUGUUGGGGACAUAAUCUUUAAUGAAAUGCAGAUGAUUCCCAUGUUACAAAAGACGAAUUUCAAGAUCGAAAUUCGGAGAUGGUAAGCAAAAUGCCGGUCUCGACGGCAACGCGGGCAGAACGGUUCUUUAGUACCAUGAGAAGAGUGAAGACCUAGUUGAGAAAUACAAUGAAAACGAAUCGAUUAUCUGGACUCGUCUUUUGAAAC
This 413-nucleotide long non-coding RNA is filed under the name Mytilus galloprovincialis (Mediterranean mussel). Lineage: Eukaryota; Metazoa; Mollusca; Bivalvia; Mytilida; Mytilidae. The record is from RNAcentral.